Molecule: non-coding RNA, 365 nt
Organism: Plectropomus leopardus (leopard coralgrouper)
Lineage: Eukaryota; Metazoa; Chordata; Actinopteri; Perciformes; Serranidae
Source: RefSeq, a predicted model, not a curated record
AGCUGCACACUUCUGUUUUCUGUCCUGUAGACGCUGAAACUGAAGAGACGGAGAAGACGAAGAAAAGAUAAAGAAAAGCUGCAGAGGAAGGACUCACGUGCACUCGUCCCGUCCUGAGAUUCAGACCCACACAUGCUGUUUCGGGAGAGAGACCUCAGUCACGUCAGCUCCGUGACAUCGAGGCGACCGCCACGCCGCUGCAAACGGGUGAUGACGGAUGCCUUUUUGUCUCGUGCAGUCAGGCCGGAUCGUCGGGCCCGCGGACGGCUGUAAUUGCACCGACAGGUGACACAUAUGUGGAAACCAGAAGAUGAUGUGGGAGACGACUCGGAUCAUGUGACCUGCACCUCAGAUGCCUCCUCGGA